This 185-nucleotide unclassified non-coding RNA is filed under the name soil metagenome. RNAcentral's name for it is "partial contains 5.8S ribosomal RNA, internal transcribed spacer 2, and large subunit ribosomal RNA". The record is from RNAcentral.
AAGACUAUAGACCUGCGGAGUACCUGCGGAGGGAUCACUGUUAGAUUGGGAUAUGGGGAUUUGAGUGGAGGGAUGGAUCAAUAGAUUCAUCACAUACUCUCACCCUCAUUACCAUUACCAUUAACACGCUUGCUUGUUUGACUGUAACCUAUAAUCACCUAUACAACUUUCAACAACGGAUCUCU